UCUCUCUCUCUGUGUGUCUGUAUGUGUGUGUAUGUGUGUGUGUGUGUGUGUGUGUGUGUGUGUGUGUGUGUGUGUGUGUGUUAACAGGGAAAUUGUUGGAUGUUAUGUUAGGCCUCCCUUUAGUUUUUGCACAGCCCCUGUUAUGGCUUUGUUAACUGACUCACCCAGCAGUAAUUUAAGUAGUUCCUCUUCUUCGGACCUUCAUCAUUUCUCUUAAUUCUUCAUCAGAGGACUAACUUGCAGCUCUUCCCCCAUUCAAAGAUAAUAAUUAAUCUGUUUUCUCUACUUCCUUCAUUGUACAAAAUCCUUUCAUUUAAUAGAAUGUCAUUUGACCAUUGAUUUUAAUUUUGAUACUUGUGAGUUUUGUGGCUCAUAUGUAAAAAGAGAAAUAUUUAUUUCUACACCUGUGUUGGAAUUGUUCCUCUAUUGAUUUCAGAGUUUCAGGUAUUUAACAUAAAAUUGAGCCACUUUAUACUGAAUUUUAUAGCGGGUAAAGAUAUGGCAUAAACUUUUGGAUUUUAGAAUAUAUAUUUAUAUGUAGCUAAUAAAUCUUUCAUAAAGUAAAAUAAUAGCUUUGUGAGAAUAUGGCAGUAUUUUCUUAGGAAAUGCAAAUAGGUUGAUUGAAACCCUUAGCUUCUAUAUCAUCAUGAUGUAGACCAUAGACAUGGUAAGCACAGUAUUACCGUGGAGUAUUAAUUAAGAGUAUAGACAGAGAUCCUAGGCAUUUGAAUCAUGUAAUUUAUUGCAAUGAAACCAUAGGCUCCUAUAGUUUGCUUUAAGCACUUCCCAUAGUUUUUAGGGGUAGGGACAAUGACUGGCAUUUUUCUUCUCUGGCCAUGUUUUGAAAUCCAUUAAUCUAAGAGAGAAGACAUACUACGUCUUCAAAUAAAAUUACUCAUCCUAGAACUCAAGAGAGCUACGUCUUUGACACUUCAGCAUUCUCAACUUUUAAAGUUAGUGAUGUCCUAGUAUUGUCAGAAACAGGUGGGCUGAGCUUUGACUGUUCAGGGUAAAGGAUAAUAAUGGAUCAUGCAUGACAAAAAUAAAGACCUUGAUAUUAUGAUGGAUCUCCUAUAGAGCAGAGUAUGCUAGAAAGCAACUCACAAAAAAGCACUGGAUCUUACAAAACUCACAAUGUGAGUAUUUUUCUUCUUUUUUGAGUAAUUUGCCCCUUUUUCAUUAUAUUGUAUAUAAAAAGAAAAAUGUUCUAAAGAGAUUUACUGUCCCCAAGUGAGUAAACUUCAGUCACAUAUAGGAGAAUUCAACUGUGUAACACUUAGUAGAUCCGUAGAUUAUAAUGGAAGAAGUUUGUUGUCAUCAUCAUUGUUUAAUUUCAAACAGGAUGCCACUUAGCCAGGAGAGACUAGAAGCCAUUAUUCCAGCUCAGACUGAGCUCAAUAUAGUGUAGAGCCUAGAUUGACCCUGAACUUGCAAACUAGAGGAGACAAUACUACUGUUUCAGUCUUUCAAAUGUGAAGAAUUUUUUGUUUUUGUUUUUGUUUUUUGUUUGUUUGUUUGUUUUUCAAGAUAGGGUUUCUCUAUGUAGCCCUGGCUGUCCUGGAACUAUAAGCCUGAUCCAGCACCUCUUGCUUUAAGGAACAUCUUAUCUAAAUAUUGACAGAAGGGCUGACUUGGAUUUUCAUGGCUGUUAGUCAGCUAAAGUGCUAUGUGCUUUCUGGACAGUAAGUAAUAUGUAUUCCUCGACAUUACCUGAUAUAAAGAAACCACCUUUAUACAAGCAAUCUUCUAGAUUAAUAUUACCAGGAACUGAAGUCUACUUCUCAUCUUGGAGGAUGCUGUCUGAUGAGCAGUGACUCCAGGGUCUCUUGUCAUUGUUUUAAAAAUUGAGAAUAUCUGUAUUUGGAUGAUAUAAUUGAGUCCUAGUAUUAUGAUAUGAUUUCAAGCUAAUACAGAUGCUAUUUAGUGCCAUUAUGAUCAGGAGGGCUGGCGAAACAUUUGCAGUCUUGGUUUUAAAUGAGAUUUUUUUUUCUAGUUCUGAUACAUGGGAGAAAGCUUCUAUAAUGCCUUCUCUCGACAAAAUAUAAAUGGACAGUACCAAACUAAGAGGGAUAUAAGUGGGAGCAAAGGUUGUAUGACACAACCUGAGUCUAACUGAGGGUAACGUAAGUUCCUUUUUUAUACCCCUGCUCUGUGUCAGGUGCUGUCCAUUUACAUAAGCAACACUAUUUCUUUGUUCUGUGAAUUGACUUUCAUACUUCCUUUGCACAUUUUAAGUUACAGAUGAAGAAAGCCACAGAAUAACUUAUUAAAAUUGACAAGAUAGAAACCAACAAAAGAAAAUAAACUUCACCAGUAAAAAUCUUGCUUAAAUUUAAUAGGGCUAACAGGAAAGUUAAUCAGAAAAUUUUAGUUAAAAUAUGAAUGACAAAACCCAGAAGGCUGUGUUGCUAGAAGCACAUCUUGAGUUUGAAUAUAUGAGGUUCUUCUGGGAUAAGAUUAGUGAUCCAGCUAGGUAAUACCUGUUCUCACUCUUUAAGGUUUGGUAUCAUUCUACCGAAGACUUUGAGCCACAAAAUAAACAGUCACGCUUAUCUUUGC
Molecule: long non-coding RNA, 2559 nt
Filed under: Mus musculus (house mouse)
Lineage: Eukaryota; Metazoa; Chordata; Mammalia; Rodentia; Muridae
Description: long non-coding RNA chr6:21233597-21236156
Source: RNAcentral